AGAGUUUGAUCCUGGCUCAGGAUGAACGCUAGCGAUAGGCCUAACACAUGCAAGUCGAGGGGCAGCACGGGAGUAGCAAUACAACUGGUGGCGACCGGCGCACGGGUGAGUAACGCGUAUGUAAUCUACCUACAACAGGGGGGGAUAACCCGGAGAAAUCCGGACUAAUACCGCAUAAAACAGGGGGGUCCCGCCUGGGACUAUUUGUUAAAGAUUUAUCGGUUGUAGAUGAGCAUGCGUUCCAUUAGAUAGUUGGUAAGGUAACGGCUUACCAAGUCAGCGAUGGAUAGGGGGGGAACUGAGAGGUUUGUCCCCCACACUGGAACUGAGACACGGACCAGACUCCUACGGGAGGCAGCAGUGAGGAAUAUUGGUCAAUGGGCGAGAGCCUGAACCAGCCAAAUCGCGUGAAGGAAGACUGCCUUAUGGGUUGUAAACUUCUUUUACAGGGGGGGAAUAAAAAGACAUACGAGUAUGUCAUUGCAUGUACCCUGUGAAUAAGCAUCGGCUAACUCCGUGCCAGCAGCCGCGGUAAUACGGAGGAUGCGAGCGUUAUCCGGAUUUAUUGGGUUUAAAGGGUGCGCAGGCGGGAUUUUAAGUCAGCGGUGAAAUACCAACGCUCAACGUUGGAACUGCCGUUGAAACUGGGAUUCUUGAGUAUAGAUGAAGUAGGCGGAAUUCGUUGUGUAGCGGUGACAUGCAUAGAUAUAACGAGGAACUCCGAUUGCGUAGGCAGCUUACUAAACUAUAACUGACGCUCAAGCACGAAAGCGUGGGGGGGAUCAAACAGGAUUAGAUACCCUGGUAGUCCACGCCGUAAACGAUGAUUACUAGUUGUAUGCGAUAUGAUAGUAUGUGACUAAGCGAAAGCGAUAAGUAAUCCACCUGGGGGGGAGUACGCCGGCAACGGUGAAACUCAAAGGAAUUGACGGGGGGGGCCCGCACAAGCGGAGGAACAUGUGGUUUAAUUCGAUGAUACGCGAGGAACCUUACCCGGGCUUGAAAUGCAAUCGACGAUCUAUGAAAGUAGAUUUCCAGCAAUGGCGAUUGUGUAGGUGCUGCAUGGUUGUCGUCAGCUCGUGCCGUGAGGUGUCGGCUUAAGUGCCAUAACGAGCGCAACCCACAUCAUUAGUUACUAACAGGUCAAGCUGAGGACUCUAAUGAGACUGCGGCGUAAGCUGCGAGGAAGGUGUGGAUGACGUCAAAUCAGCACGGCCCUUACGUCCGGGGCGACACACGUGUUACAAUGGGUGGUACAAAGGGCAGCUACUGGGCGACCAGAUGCUAAUCUCCAAAGCCACUCCCAGUUCGGAUCGGAGUCUGCAACUCGACUCCGUGAAGCUGGAUUCGCUAGUAAUCGCGCAUCAGCCAUGGCGCGGUGAAUACGUUCCCGGGCCUUGUACACACCGCCCGUCAAGCCAUGGAAGCCGGGGGGGACCUGAAGUACGUAACCGUUGAGGAGCGUCCUAGGGUAAAACUGGUGACUGGGGCUAAGUCGUAACAAGGUAGCCGUACCGGAAGGUGCGGCUG
This 1530-nucleotide ribosomal RNA is filed under the name Dysgonomonas hofstadii JCM 17038 = DSM 104969. RNAcentral describes it as "bacterial SSU rRNA". It matches the Rfam family "Bacterial small subunit ribosomal RNA". Lineage: Bacteria; Pseudomonadati; Bacteroidota; Bacteroidia; Bacteroidales; Dysgonomonadaceae. The record is from RNAcentral.